RNAcentral lists this long non-coding RNA (809 nucleotides) under Vulpes vulpes (red fox). RNAcentral's name for it is "lncRNA (ENSVVUG00000020051.1)". Lineage: Eukaryota; Metazoa; Chordata; Mammalia; Carnivora; Canidae. The record is from RNAcentral.
GGCAGCCCUGCUGCCCCGUGGACGUGUGACCCUGCCAUAUAGAAAGAGGAAUGGGGCGGGUUCAGGAGGCCGGCUGCAGGUGUCUGUCCUUGAUUUUUCCCAGUAGGAACAUCCUAGUGUUUGAAGGAAUUGCAGGAAAUUAAUUUAGUAGAUGACACAGCAUUUUAAAACAUGUGAACUAGUCUGUAUGAAAACAACCACAUUGCUGGGAAUCUAAACCCUGACGGGUCUGGGUCUGGAGUUACGGAAGUCCCACUCAGAACACAGAGGGCUUCUGGUGCAGCAUGGCAUGAAGCCGAGGGAGAGAUGAAGCAACCGAGCAGUCCCAUCAAAGAUGCUGUCCAUGCAGCCUGGAAUCCGGGGUGAAAAGUGCUAAUCAUUAAAGAAAAUGCUCCAACAUGACAGCGUGAUCGGUGACAGGCAUUAGCACCACGGGUGAAUUUCCAGGAGUCGCUGUAAUACAGUUUGUGCUUGAAAAGCCUCUGCCCCUGGAUGUGGCAUAAGGAUGGAAAGGACCCCGGAUCUGCACCUGUGUGGGGCGACCUGGGACAUCUCGCAACUUGUUUUGUUCGCCUUCCGUGGAGUCGGAAGUCAGUCCUCUCAAUGGAGGCAAGUAGAGAGGCUCAGAGAUUUUGCAAACCAGCAGGAGACCUUAACCAGCACUCUGACAAAUGCAAGUUGCGUGGCCUGGAAAAUGGAAAUCACAGUCGUACCUAUGUCCUGAGGAUUUAUAAAUUUUAAAUAAAAAUUGUGUCUGGGGGUGCCUGGGUGGCUCAGUCAACCGGUUAAGUGCUGAGUCUUGGUUUUGG